Molecule: ribosomal RNA, 452 nt
Filed under: uncultured Azospira sp.
Lineage: Bacteria; Pseudomonadati; Pseudomonadota; Betaproteobacteria; Rhodocyclales; Rhodocyclaceae
Description: bacterial SSU rRNA
Rfam family: Bacterial small subunit ribosomal RNA
Source: RNAcentral
CGGUGGAUGAUGUGGAUUAAUUCGAUGCAACGCGAAGAACCUUACCUACCCUUGACAUGCCAGGAAUCUGCCAGAGAUGGUUGGGUGCUCGAAAGAGAACCUGGACACAGGUGCUGCAUGGCUGUCGUCAGCUCGUGUCGUGAGAUGUUGGGUUAAGUCCCGCAACGAGCGCAACCCUUGUCAUUAGUUGCCAUCAUUCAGUUGGGCACUCUAAUGAGACUGCCGGUGACAAACCGGAGGAAGGUGGGGAUGACGUCAAGUCCUCAUGGCCCUUAUGGUAGGGCUUCACACGUCAUACAAUGGCCGGUACAGAGGGUUGCCAAGCCGCGAGGCGGAGCCAAUCCCAGAAAGCCGGUCGUAGUCCGGAUUGCAGUCUGCAACUCGACUGCAUGAAGUCGGAAUCGCUAGUAAUCGCGGAUCAGCAUGUCGCGGUGAAUACGUUCCCGGGUCUU